UCCUACGGGAGGCAGCAGUAGGGAAUCUUCCGCAAUGGACGAAAGUCUGACGGAGCAACGCCGCGUGAGUGAUGAAGGUUUUCGGAUCGUAAAACUCUGUUGUUAGGGAAGAACAAGUGCCGUUCAAAUAGGGCGGUACCUUGACGGUACCUAACCAGAAAGCCACGGCUAACUACGUGCCAGCAGCCGCGGUAAU
Molecule: ribosomal RNA, 196 nt
Filed under: uncultured bacterium
Lineage: Bacteria
Description: partial 16S ribosomal RNA
Rfam family: Bacterial small subunit ribosomal RNA
Source: RNAcentral